RNAcentral lists this ribosomal RNA (694 nucleotides) under uncultured Bacteroides sp. RNAcentral describes it as "bacterial SSU rRNA". It matches the Rfam family "Bacterial small subunit ribosomal RNA", at positions 32 to 715 of the family's 1533-position model. The record is from RNAcentral. Lineage: Bacteria; Pseudomonadati; Bacteroidota; Bacteroidia; Bacteroidales; Bacteroidaceae.
AACGCUAGCUACAGGCUUAACACAUGCAAGUCGAGGGGCAGCAUGAACUUAGCUUGCUAAGUUUGAUGGCGACCGGCGCACGGGUGAGUAACGCGUAUCCAACCUUCCGUACACUCAGGGAUAGCCUUUCGAAAGAAAGAUUAAUACCUGAUGGUAUGAUGAGAUUGCAUGGUAACAUCAUUAAAGAUUUAUCGGUGUACGAUGGGGAUGCGUUCCAUUAGAUAGUAGGCGGGGUAACGGCCCACCUAGUCGACGAUGGAUAGGGGUUCUGAGAGGAAGGUCCCCCACAUUGGAACUGAGACACGGUCCAAACUCCUACGGGAGGCAGCAGUGAGGAAUAUUGGUCAAUGGGCGCGAGCCUGAACCAGCCAAGUAGCGUGAAGGAUGAAGGUCCUAUGGAUUGUAAACUUCUUUUAUACGGGAAUAAAGUGGUCCACGUGUGGACUUUUGCAUGUACCGUAUGAAUAAGCAUCGGCUAACUCCGUGCCAGCAGCCGCGGUAAUACGGAGGAUGCGAGCGUUAUCCGGAUUUAUUGGGUUUAAAGGGAGCGCAGACGGGGGAUUAAGUCAGUUGUGAAAGUUUGCGGCUCAACCGUAAAAUUGCAGUUGAUACUGGUUCCCUUGAGUGCAGUUGAGGCAGGCGGAAUUCGUGGUGUAGCGGUGAAAUGCAUAGAUAUCACGAAGAACUCCGAUUG